Cyprinus carpio (common carp) is the source of this 378-nucleotide long non-coding RNA. RefSeq lists it as uncharacterized. The record is from RefSeq and is a predicted model, not a curated record. Lineage: Eukaryota; Metazoa; Chordata; Actinopteri; Cypriniformes; Cyprinidae.
GUUUUUGCCAUUCUCUCUUGUCGUGUAUUAACGUAACGUAACGUUGUAACCUGCUGUCGGGAAUAAAAUGCAUCUGGCUUACAGCUUGCUGGCUGAGGUUUCGAGUCUGAGAUGUGAUGAGAUUAGCUGUUUGAAUUCCUAGCGGGCUGGAGAGACUGCCGUAACCUUUAAGGAGAUUGUCGAGCUGAACUAGCUCCAUGUAGACAAACUUGGGCAUCAGGUGCCAAGUGAGAUCUGCUCCAAAAGAAAAUAAGUGCAAUCUUUUCAUCUGAGAUAGAUUUUCUUGACUCUGGUUUGAUUGGUAUGAUCAAGGUCAGGCAACCCUGCUGCAAGACGGUCAUUCACACGCUGGGUUAACCGAAUAAACAAACAUGUUAG